GUAAGGAAUAUUGGUCAAUGGACGAAAGUCUGAACCAGCCAUGCCGCGUGGAGGAUGAAGGUCCUCUGGAUUGUAAACUUCUUUUAUAUGGGACGAAAAAAGGCUUUUCUAAGUCGUCUGACGGUACCAUAUGAAUAAGCACCGGCUAACUCCGUGCCAGCAGCCGCGGUAAUACGGAGGGUGCAAGCGUUAUCCGGAUUCACUGGGUUUAAAGGGUGCGUAGGUGGAUUGCCAAGUCCGUGGUGAAAUCUUCGAGCUUAACUCGGAAACUGCCAUGGAUACUGGUGAUCUUGAAUAGCGUGGAGGUUAGCGGAAUAUGUCAUGUAGCGGUGAAAUGCUUAGAUAUGACAUAGAACACCAAUUGCGAAGGCAGCUGGCUACGCGAAUAUUGACACUCAGGCACGAAAGCGUGGGGAGCAAACAGGAUUAGAUACCCUUGUAGUCC
Molecule: ribosomal RNA, 445 nt
Filed under: uncultured bacterium
Lineage: Bacteria
Description: partial 16S ribosomal RNA
Rfam family: Bacterial small subunit ribosomal RNA
Source: RNAcentral